RNAcentral lists this transfer RNA (72 nucleotides) under Marmota monax (woodchuck). It matches the Rfam family "tRNA". Rfam says of the family: Transfer RNA (tRNA) molecules are approximately 80 nucleotides in length. Their secondary structure includes four short double-helical elements and three loops (D, anti-codon, and T loops). The record is from Rfam by way of RNAcentral. Lineage: Eukaryota; Metazoa; Chordata; Mammalia; Rodentia; Sciuridae.
GGGGUUGUGGCUCAGUGGUAGAGCGCUUGCCUAGCAUGUUAGAGGCCCUGGGUUCAAUCCUCAGCAUCAUUU